RNAcentral lists this ribosomal RNA (269 nucleotides) under uncultured soil bacterium. RNAcentral describes it as "partial 16S ribosomal RNA". It matches the Rfam family "Bacterial small subunit ribosomal RNA", at positions 26 to 285 of the family's 1533-position model. The record is from RNAcentral.
AGAAUCAACGCUGGCGGCGUGCCUAACACAUGCAAGUUGAGCGCUUGAGGGGGGCAACCCCCAAGAGAGCAGCGAACGGGUGAGUAACGCGUGGGUGAUCUUCCUUCGAGUGGGGAACAACAUCGGGAAACUGGUGCUAAUUCCGCAUAACACCUUGGGGCUACGAGCCUCAAGAUCAAAGCCGGGGACCGUAAGGCCUGGCGCUUGAAGAUGAGCCCGCGUCCGAUUAGCUAGUUGGCGGGUAAUGGCCCACAAGGCUUCGAUCGGUA